This 2509-nucleotide long non-coding RNA is filed under the name Equus caballus (horse). RNAcentral's name for it is "lncRNA (ENSECAG00000051458.1)". The record is from RNAcentral. Lineage: Eukaryota; Metazoa; Chordata; Mammalia; Perissodactyla; Equidae.
AAAAGUCACCAGUGAGAUCCAGUCUCUGCACAAAUACACUCCCUGGCUGAGGCCACGGGUCAGAAGGGCGCUGGUGAAGUCUGCGCUCGCCCCUCUGCAGAAGCCACACCCCGCGGCCUGGCUGGAAGGCCACCGGCUGAGCAGGAGGGGAACUCGGAACUCCAGCGGGCUCCCUUCAUCCUUUCUUUCUGGAGGAAACGGUUGGGAGAUCCCAGGAUGGAAUAUGGAAUGUCACAGAAGAACCUGACUGCAUCAUGAAUGCAUGAAACAGCCUCACUGAAGAUGGUGCGGGGAAGCUGCUGACCUGGGUGGAUUUGGAAAUGAGUGGAGUCCGUGAGACUAAAGCAUUAUUCACGGUAGCCAAGACGUGGAAGCAACCCAAGUGCCCAUCGACCAAUGAUUGGAUAAAGAGGAUGUGGAAGGAAGCUCUGACACAUACCAGGACGCGGAUGAACCAUGAAGACAUUAGGCUAAGUGAAAUAGUAAGCCGGAUGCAAAAGAACACAUAAUAUGAUUCCACUUACAUGGGGUCCCUGGAGGAGGCAAAUCAUGGAGAGGGAAGUUUGAGAUUACAAGAACAUAGCCUCUGUGAGAGCUUCUGCUGUAAGACUCAGCCGACUCCGUGAACCCUGCGCCCCCAGCCCACCCGGAGCUCGAGACCCAGAGGCCGGCCAGCUCCGCCCUCUCACUCGGGGAGCGCAAGCGUCUGUCGUCCAGUCUGGAAAGCUCUCUGUCUGCGGGUGUGAAGAGGCUCUGUACCCAGCUGGAGGAACUAAGCAGGAAACCUGUUUGGACUCUUUAUCUAAGGACCUUUAUCACAAACAAUGUGAAAAAUAGGCUGACUCCAGCAAAAGCUUUCUGAGCAGCUCUGUGACCCGUAAGGCCUGGUAGAUGGACUGGCUUCCUCGUCCUCGCCCCUAGAGCCAUGUCACCGCUAUGGGGAGGCUUUGGAAGGAAAUGACUUGGGCAUUCUUGAGAAGCUGAGGACAGAUAAGGACAUGAGUCAUAAGUGGCUCCAUAAUAACAAUCACAGUGCAUUUCAUCCUAAAUCUACAUUAAUGAAUAUGAGAAGAUUUAAGGGGACGGGGGUGGACACUGGAGGAAGGAUGGACUCACCAACAGGGAGGCAGUGGUCAUAUGGUGGCCAUCUGACCUUUACCUGGCCCUUCAAGGCAGCCCGAGUCUCCCAGCAUGCCCAGCGGUGGCCUGGACUCCCUUGCUUGAUCCUGGGAUUCUCCCAGCAUGCACAGUGGUGGCCUGGACUCCUCCCCAUCUUGAUCCUGGGAUUCUCCCAGCAUGCACAGUGGUGGCCUGGACUCCUCCCCAUCUUGAUCCUGGGAUUCUCCCAGCAUGCACAGUGGUGGCCUGGACUCCUCCCCAUCUUGAUCCUGGGAUUCUCCCAGCAUGCACAGUGGUGGCCUGGACUCCUCCCCAUCUUGAUCCUGGGAUUCUCCCAGCAUGCGCAGUGGUGGCCUGGACUCCUCCCCAUCUUGAUCCUGGGAUUCUCCCAGCAUGCACAGCGGUGGCCUGGACUCCUCCCUAUCUUGAUCCUGGGAUUCUCCCAGCAUGCACAGCAGUGGCUAGACCCUCCCUGGGGGUGGAAAUGCAGGCCAGCUGCCCCAGAGGCUCCUUGCUCUUCUAUGAAAAGAAGGAUGAGCUCCAAGCCUUCUGCUAGAGUAUACUGCACAAUACUGUAGCCACACUUAGCUAUUACAUUUAAAUUCAAAUUAAUUAGUUAAAUAAAAUUUAAAAUUCAAUUCUUCAGCCACACUAGCCAUAUUUCAAAGGUUCAAUAGCCACUGUAUUGGACAGUGCAGACCUAGAACAUUCCAUAUUAGCAGGAAGUUCUGUUCACAGAGUUCUCCUGGGGCAAAGCUCUGAUUCUGACCUCAGGGCCACCGUCUCCCAGUCUGGGUGGCGAGGUCGCCUCGAGGAUCAGUUGCUUCACAUCUCCUCAGUGGCCCUGCAGCACUGAGCAAUUCCAGAAGCAAGAGGAAAAGCUCAAGAGGGCUCCCCCUUCCUGCCCUCUGCUCAGUGGAUUUUUCCGGAAUAUCCCCCAGUGUGUGAGCAACAAAUGAAACUGCAGCCUUGUUGGUGUCCCAGGAAAAUGGAGGGCAGCUGGAGAAGGCUGGCUGGAGGGAAUGAGGCUGCCAGCCCCCUGCUGGGGAGUGACCUCAGAUGACGUAAAUCCACCUUCACUAAUUCAAGCUCCAGCACCACGCACUGAAGGCAUGGAGCGCCCUUCCCCUCCCCAAGCCUCCAUAAUUGCUUUAUUCUUAUGCCAGAAUUUUAUCUGUGUUGAAAUUUUCUUUUUUACAUCCUAUUAAAAGUGUUAAUAAACUGUAUUUAAGACCUUACUUUGCAAUUAUGUUGAGUAGACUAAAUAAAUCAACACUGGCUCUUAGUCUGUUCAAGGGAAAAAACUGAACUCCUGCUAAUUUAACAAAUAUUUUGAAAAGUCAGAGCUGAUAAACGUUUUAAUUGUCUCCAAAAUAAGCAUAUUUAAUUU